GUGCCAGCAGCGGCGGUAAUACGUAGGGUGCGAGCGUUAAUCGGAAUUACUGGGCGUAAAGGGUGCGCAGGCGGUUUUGCAAGUCAGAUGUGAAAGCCCCGGGCUUAACCUGGGAAUUGCGUUUGAAACUACAAGGCUAGAGUGCAGCAGAGGGGAGUGGAAUUCCAUGUGUAGCAGUGAAAUGCGUAGAGAUGUGGAAGAACACCGAUGGCGAAGGCAGCUCCCUGGGCUGACACUGACGCUCAUGCACGAAAGCGUGGGGAGCAAACAGGAUUAGAUACCCUGGUAGUCCACGCCCUAAACGAUGUCAACUGGUUGUCGGAUCUAAUUAAGGAUUUGGUAACGUAGCUAACGCGUGAAGUUGACCGCCUGGGGAGUACGGUCGCAAGAUUAAAACUCAAAUGAAUUGACGGGG
This 415-nucleotide ribosomal RNA is filed under the name uncultured Nitrosomonas sp. RNAcentral's name for it is "bacterial SSU rRNA". It matches the Rfam family "Bacterial small subunit ribosomal RNA", at positions 505 to 918 of the family's 1533-position model. Lineage: Bacteria; Pseudomonadati; Pseudomonadota; Betaproteobacteria; Nitrosomonadales; Nitrosomonadaceae. The record is from RNAcentral.